CGGCCUUUACUGAGGAGGAACUGAUCAGGCUUAUGCUGCGUUCCAGACACAGUUUAUAGCCGUCAAGUUACGACUUCAAGUCACGACUCACGACUUGGUAGCGUUCCAGGCGAAGUCACGACAAACCCUUCUAGCUAGCAUCAGCUAGCGGCUACCUAACGGUGAUGUUACUGGCUGAUUCUAACGAUUUCUACUCUGCGACAUAUU
Molecule: long non-coding RNA, 207 nt
Organism: Etheostoma cragini (Arkansas darter)
Lineage: Eukaryota; Metazoa; Chordata; Actinopteri; Perciformes; Percidae
Exons: 4
Source: RefSeq, a predicted model, not a curated record